GAAAUGCGAUAAGUAAUGUGAAUUGCAGAAUUCAGUGAAUCAUCGAAUCUUUGAACGCACAUUGCGCCCUUUGGUAUUCCGAAGGGCAUGCCUGUUCGAGCGUCAUUUAAACUCUCAAGCCCAGCUUGGUAUUGGAACCUGUCCUCUGACAGUUCCGCAACUCCUUUGGCAGUAACGUCCAGCUUCAAGCGUAGCAAGUCAUUCGCUUAGUGGUCUUGACGUUCCUCCCACAAGAACCCUUCUCAAGUUUGACCUCGGAUCAGGUAGGGAUACCCGCUGAACUUAA
Molecule: unclassified non-coding RNA, 286 nt
Filed under: uncultured Ascomycota
Lineage: Eukaryota; Fungi; Ascomycota
Description: sequence contains ITS1
Rfam family: 5.8S ribosomal RNA (bases 1-105)
Source: RNAcentral